Molecule: transfer RNA, 75 nt
Filed under: Pseudomonas asturiensis
Lineage: Bacteria; Pseudomonadati; Pseudomonadota; Gammaproteobacteria; Pseudomonadales; Pseudomonadaceae
Description: tRNA_Ala_GGC
Rfam family: tRNA
About the family: Transfer RNA (tRNA) molecules are approximately 80 nucleotides in length. Their secondary structure includes four short double-helical elements and three loops (D, anti-codon, and T loops).
Source: RNAcentral
UUCCGGAUAGCUCAAUUGGCAGAGCGCUGUACUGGCAACAGUACAAAGGUGGCGGUUCGAGUCCGUCUCCGGGGC